GGUUUCAAAGAUUUAGAAAAAUGGCAAAUGGGUACGAAGAAAUGAAUUUAUUCAUACACACUAAAGAAAACACAUUUUUCGAAUGUAGUCAUACAGAAUGUGUUUUCUUUAGUGUGUAUGAAUAAAUGCAAUCUCUGUAUGACUACACUAAAGAAAACACAUCUUUCGAAUCUUAUAAGAUUUGGGCGUUCCUCCCCCUUUGAGCUAGCUUUUGGGGUGUGAUAGGCCUAAGACCUAAUUUCACAUUGUAUUAGAGCCUCUAUGAUCUUAGUAAAGAAUCAAAAAUUCUUCAUGGGCGAUUAUAACCAAUAUAUGUCGCACGUCUGAUCGAUGAUCAUGUUAGCAAAAGUUGAGUCAUCAUGCUUCUUUCCAGUGCCUCCUCAUAUCUAAUUUACGUAGCACCGGUAACUUUCCGGUGACUACUUUCUCAUACCAAAUUUCCGUAGCACCGUGCAUCUUUUCGGUGACUACUUUCCUAUAUCUAAUUUGCAUAGCACCGUGCAUCUUUCCGGUGACUACUUUCUCAUAUCUGAUUUGCGUAUCACCGUGCAUCUUUCCAAACUAUAUUCUCAUAUCCAAGUUGAGUAGCAUCGUGUGCCAUUUCAGUGACUCCUCAAAUCUAAUUUGCAUAGGGUCGUGCCAUCAUUCCGAUCCUACCAUAAAAUUUGUCUUUUUCAGUAGGGCCGUGCAUCAUUCUGAUCCUACAAAUAUAAUUUAUCUUUUCCAGUAGGAUCAUGCCAGCAUUCUGGUCCUACCCAUAUAAUUUUAUGAUCUAGAAUAGUCUCCUCAAGCCUGGUUUGGAAAGUUCAAGAAUUUCUCUUUUUCAGCAUGGUCAUGCCAUCAUUCCGACACUACCCAUAUAAUUUCUCUUUUCCAGUAGGGUCAUGCCAUCAUUCCGACCUACCCAUAUAAUUUCUCAGAUUUUGACCAUUUCUCAGCCGUCAAAUCGAAUAAUCCGGCGCAUGAAGAUGAUCCGACCAAUUUUUAGGUGACUUUCUUGUUCAAGAUCUACCCAUAUCUUGAUUUCAAAAUGAUCCAUAUAUUCUAUACCAGUUUUCGGCAAUUUUCCAGUGACAAAUCUACUUCCCAGUGACGUUUACGACUUUC
RNAcentral lists this long non-coding RNA (1107 nucleotides) under Capsicum annuum. RNAcentral describes it as "long non-coding RNA (CANN_LNC009982)". Lineage: Eukaryota; Viridiplantae; Streptophyta; Magnoliopsida; Solanales; Solanaceae. The record is from RNAcentral.